Antechinus flavipes (yellow-footed antechinus) is the source of this 782-nucleotide long non-coding RNA. RefSeq lists it as uncharacterized. The record is from RefSeq and is a predicted model, not a curated record. NCBI's taxonomy places the organism in Eukaryota, Metazoa, Chordata, Mammalia, Dasyuromorphia, Dasyuridae. The transcript is spliced from 2 exons.
AGAAAGAGAUAGGAAGAACUUGACAUUAAUUUUGAUAGUUUUUUCUUUCCAAGUUUGAUCCUAGAAAUGGGGGGGGGGGGUGAGGAAAGUGGGGAAAGUAAUUAGGGAGAACUAAGGUCAACUGCUCUUUCACAGACCCACUGAAUAUAACCCUUUAGCUCUGGCCUCUCAGUCUCCUGAGGAAUUCUGCACCCUGUCCCUGCCCCCAUCAUUGGCUCUUAGUUUAAUUUAUUGAAAUUUAUGAGUAGUUUAGUUCCUACUCAAUAGCUGAGUUGGAGGGGGAGGGGAAGAAUUUAUGAUAAGAGGAAAAGACAGUGACAAAGGGAACCAGAACCACUAGUUUUUGUAGUGGGUAAUCACAGAUUGUACGUUGGGGGAAGGGGGCUACGUAAGCUAUGGGGGGAGGGAGUUGACUCUGCUGGAAUUAGGCUCGCUGACUCAGCACCUGAUGCUGCCCAGCCUGGCUUGGGCCUCUGCCGUGUCUGCCUGGUCAUCUGUGCCACUAAUCAGACUGCCACAAGCCUGUCUUUCUGGGGAACCAGAAAUCAGGGGACUCCAGUCCUUCUCCUUCUCCAGUCCUUAUUAGCAUUAAGGACCCCGGACUUCCAAACUGGGGAGGAAAGAUUAUAGUAGUGCACACAAAGGAUGCGUGUAACUGAAGGACCGAGUGGGCAGAACCAAGACAUCCAGCAGACUCGGAAAAUUCGAGGACUAGGUCUCCCGGAAUGAGUUAUGUCACCGGUUAGAGAGAGACGGGAAUGAAGGUUGAAAAAGAACCAAGA